This is a long non-coding RNA of Clupea harengus (Atlantic herring), 1248 nucleotides long. Lineage: Eukaryota; Metazoa; Chordata; Actinopteri; Clupeiformes; Clupeidae. The record is from Ensembl.
GUGUAGUUAGGGGACAGUAAUUUCUCGGCUCGUGUCUAACGCAAUGCGAUGACAUUCACAGACAUCAUCAUGUGCGGUGGCAUUACCAUACUACGUUCAAAAUUCCAGUUUGUGUCUCAAUCCCUGUCAAAAGUUAUAGACAGAUGUCGUUUUGUGGGACAGAUGUGUAACUUAAAAGUUUUGCACAAGAUUAUGACUGCACAAUCGGUGCAUUUGGACAGGACCACAAAUAACAGGUAGUUGGGAUUGUGAUCUAGAUGCUAGUAAAAUUAAUAUCUGCAAAUAUUAGGAGAGGUUGAUUGGUAGCAUUUGUAACGCGGCAUUACGUGCAAUCGGUUGCAACCAGCACGCGUGGCUAGCAAGUGAAAUUUGGUACACUACCCACUGAUGCAGUACAAUAGACUUAAUGGAAACGGCUAAUCUUGUCUUAUGAACAAAAUAUUUCUGACACAUAGACACGUACUGGUUAAAAUUAAGACAACAAUAAAAUUGUAUCGAGGGAGAUGUGGAGUAGGCUACUGGCAGCAGGGUUAGAUCUGUGGCGGAAAUGUGACUACAACUUAAUUUUUUUUUUUUUUUAAACCCUAUCACCCAUAUUUUGGUUUGAAUAAUGCAUGGCUGUUGCUGUAAAUUGUACUUUACCCAUUUAAACUGUCAUGUUACAAUUGUCUUCGGCCAGUGUUACACCGUCGGACAGUUGUAAUAAAGGCACUCAAAGUAAGGCAGAUGUGCUUGAAUUAGUGAAGUAAAUAUAGAGACGAGAGGUGCAUGUUGCAUACACGUUAAAUUAAAUAAGUGUCUUCUGCAACAAGGCAAAACUAAAAGUGUUACAACUGUACCCGGUCUCCCCUUGUCCGAUGCUGUUUUCUUCAGCCCUAUGCUAGUUAACGUGACAAACUAUUUUUAUAUACCACUGCUGUUUUUGAUUAACGGCCUCCUGGUAGUGUUCAACUCAUAGCCGAGCUUUGGCUUUAUCGUAUUCCACAGGGCUCUCGAAGUCCCCACAGAGUCUGAUAACCACGCGCUGGCACGGAGGGGGAAUCAUAUCACUCCCAUCCCAUCCCUUUCCGUCCCUUCUAUAAAGCUAAAUUAGAUCCUCUGGCUCUAUACUGCCUGUACACUGGGCAGCUGACAUCUACAGCAAAACCCUUCUGUUUAGAAUCAGCCCUCUCGCCUUGUAUUUCCGGGUGUUCUCAAUGUUUGAGGCAACAUAAAAUAUUCCAAGGAAGAACUGUUGAGACUUUUGUC